CCACAUUGCAUUAAGUGGAUUUUACUAACUAGCAUAACAUUACCUUUUUUUUUUUUUUUUUUAAGGUAGGUAAGAGUUCACAGAUAUGUAGCAGAGUCAUGUGGAUUAAAUGAUUAAUUUUUACAUUACAUGCUAAAUAACCCAAUAGAAAUGCUUCAAAAUGAUAUAAAGGUUUUAACUGCUUAUUUAAUUUUGUCCCGCCUUUUUGGGUGAGUCUCUAUCAGACUGUUAUUGUUGAUUAUUUAGAUGAUUCGUUCACAUUACAGAAGUACAGCACAUUGAACAGCUCCAUAUAUAGUACAUUUAUUAGAGGCUGGGAGCACCACCAUUUAGUGACGCACAUGCUCUGAUACACUUACUUAAAUUAUCUGAUAAGCAAGAAAACAAUGUGUCUGUAGGAAUGACUAUCUGAAAAUCUAUAAUAAAUUAUCUGGACAUUUUUUCUAAAGUCUCCAAAGCCUUCUCCCAUCCCUGCAUGGUAUCCCAGCACCUUCAUUCGUCCCAUCCCGGCCUCCAAGUCUCCCACUGCUACACGUUCCAGGCGUGUCCGUAGAGUCCAGGUGGUGAUUAAAGAGGCAGAGCCUUCUUGCAGGCUGGACUCUACAGGGCUGACGCCUGAGUUUAACCAUGGUCCAACUGCACAGGCUGUGGAUGGCUUGGACCAUGAUGUAGAGGGCUUUGGUGGUAGGUAGUACUCUAGGGGAGAGACGAUGUUAGAGCCAGUUCCCAAAUUACAGUGCCAGGAAGCACACACGGGAGACAAAUUGGAUCACCCAGUCCUGCUGGUUGGAGAGGCACGCCCUCUCCACAGACUGGACUUUCAGGACACAGAGCCUGAAUUUGAGCCAGUGCCAGCUGCACAGGAUAUCGAGGAUAUCAUCAUAGAGGAUGUUGUGGAGGAGGUCGAUGUGGAGGUCCUGGUGUUACAGGAAGAUAGGCCAGAUUGUAAAGGCCAAGGGGAGGCUUUUGAGAAAGCUCCCAAAACAAAGAGAGGGUGGCUACAGAGGAUACAGUUCUUCUUCAGCUGCUUCCCAAAAAUCAGGAGAAGAUAGCGGAAGGAAAACUUUGCUCGUUAGAAUGGGCAGAAUGAUAGAUACACACACACACAUACAUGCAUAUAUUUAUAAUGUACAUAUACAUUUACAAACAUAUAUACACUUACAAUGAUAGAUGCAUAUACACAUACCGGUACAUAGAGAGAUACUUACACUUGUACAUACUUUUUUUAAUCCUGUAAAUAAUUAAGGAUGAAUAAUUAUAAUAUAUUUGUUAUUAGGAUCAUUAUUAUAUGUUUUAUAUUAAAUAUUAAUAUUUAUUAACAGGAUGGAUAAUUAUAAUAUAUUUAUAUUAUAGGAUAAUAUAUGUAUUAUUUAUAUGAUUUAUUUUAUUUUUAUAUAGAUUAUAUAUAUAGAAAAUUAACAUUUUAUAUAUUUAUACAUACAUUUUAUAUGUUCUAUAUUUUUCACCCCCACCCGUUCUCCAUCCUCUGUCUCACUUUUCACCCAACCCCCACCCACCUCCCACCCUUCCCUCCCUAUUCACCCCACACUUUCUCCCCACCAUCUCCAUUCUCUCUCCUG
Molecule: long non-coding RNA, 1580 nt
Filed under: Astyanax mexicanus (Mexican tetra)
Lineage: Eukaryota; Metazoa; Chordata; Actinopteri; Characiformes; Acestrorhamphidae
Description: lncRNA (ENSAMXG00005001960.1)
Source: RNAcentral